Small nucleolar RNA from Callithrix jacchus (white-tufted-ear marmoset), 98 nucleotides. Lineage: Eukaryota; Metazoa; Chordata; Mammalia; Primates; Cebidae. The record is from Ensembl.
CUCCGUCUCAAAAAAAAAAAAAGACUGGGUGUUCAUAUACAUGUGAGAUGUGCCUCCCUCAAACCUUGUUAAGACAUGGGCACAUACCCACGGGGAAA